CGAACACCCUGGAGGAGACACAGGAAGGACAGGUGAAGCAGAUCAUCCACAACCGCACCUGGCAGAAGACAACACACGUCACCAAUCACUACUCAUCAAUUUCACCAUGGUUUGAAAUGUUCAUCCACAUGCUUCACAUAUUCAAUAAAGCUCAUGUGCAAAUAUGCAAUGUGCAAACUGCUCUGUGCAAAUCAUGCUAAUAAAGUGCAACUAUCACCA
This is a non-coding RNA of Epinephelus lanceolatus (giant grouper), 219 nucleotides long. Lineage: Eukaryota; Metazoa; Chordata; Actinopteri; Perciformes; Serranidae. The record is from RefSeq and is a predicted model, not a curated record.